UAGGGAAUCUUCCGCAAUGGACGCAAGUCUGACGGAGCAACGCCGCGUGAGUGAAGAAGGAUUUCGGUUCGUAAAACUCUGUUGUUAGAGAAGAACAGCGCAUAGAGUAACUGUUAUGCGUGUGACGGUAUCUAACCAGAAAGCCACGGCUAACUACGUGCCAGCAGCCGCGGUAAUACGUAGGUGGCAAGCGUUGUCCGGAUUUAUUGGGCGUAAAGCGAGCGCAGGCGGUCAAUUAAGUCUGAUGUGAAGGCCCCCGGCUCAACCGGGGAGGGUCAUUGGAAACUGGUUGACUUGAGUGCAGAAGAGGAGAGUGGAAUUCCAUGUGUAGCGGUGAAAUGCGUAGAUAUAUGGAGGAACACCAGUGGCGAAGGCGACUCUCUGGUCUGUAACUGACGCUGAGGCUCGAAAGCGUGGGUAGCAAACAGG
This 429-nucleotide ribosomal RNA is filed under the name Bacteroidota bacterium. RNAcentral's name for it is "Bacteroidetes bacterium partial 16S ribosomal RNA". It matches the Rfam family "Bacterial small subunit ribosomal RNA", at positions 355 to 776 of the family's 1533-position model. The record is from RNAcentral. Lineage: Bacteria; Pseudomonadati; Bacteroidota.